This 461-nucleotide ribosomal RNA is filed under the name uncultured bacterium. RNAcentral describes it as "partial 16S ribosomal RNA". It matches the Rfam family "Bacterial small subunit ribosomal RNA", at positions 29 to 507 of the family's 1533-position model. The record is from RNAcentral.
ACGAACGCUGGCGGCGUGCUUAACACAUGCCAGUCGCGCGGAAAGGCCCUUCGGGGUACUCGAGCGGCGAACGGGUGAGUAACACGUGAGUAACCUGCCCCAGACUUUGGGAUAACCCUCGGAAACGGGGGCUAAUACCGGAUACGACACAGCUUCGCAUGGGGUCUGUGUGGAAAGUUUUUCGGUUUGGGAUGGGCUCGCGGCCUAUCAGCUUGUUGGUGGGGUGAUGGCCUACCAAGGCGACGACGGGUAGCCGGCCUGAGAGGGCGACCGGCCACACUGGGACUGAGACACGGCCCAGACUCCUACGGGAGGCAGCAGUGGGGAAUAUUGCACAAUGGGCGGAAGCCUGAUGCAGCGACGCCGCGUGAGGGAUGACGGCCUUCGGGUUGUAAACCUCUUUCAGCAGGGACGAAGCGUAAGUGACGGUACCUGCAGAAGAAGCGCCGGCCAACUACGUG